Kogia breviceps (pygmy sperm whale) is the source of this 3832-nucleotide non-coding RNA. The record is from RefSeq and is a predicted model, not a curated record. NCBI's taxonomy places the organism in Eukaryota, Metazoa, Chordata, Mammalia, Artiodactyla, Physeteridae.
ACUGUUUAUAAAUAUUCUCUGGAUUUGCCAUCUAGCACGGUAGGAAAAAUCGACCAAUUUACUCACAUCUGGGAUUAAAAAGCAAAGAGUCUCACUCAGACAGUAUCAGUAUUUGAUAUUCAGAAGCAGAAACAGAAGAAUUGUGAGAUUGGCUUCCAGUCACAGAACUUCAGCCAUUUCAGUUUAGCCUCUCACCCUCUGUGCUCUCACUUCCCAAGACAGCAAAGUAUUUCAAAGCAGGAAGGAGUAUGACAAAAGGAGGAAAUGGCACCAUCAGGUCUCUGGGGUCUGAUCAACAAUGCUGGUGUUCUCGGCGUGCUGGCACCCACCGACUGGCUGACAGUGGAGGACUACAGAGAACCUAUUGAAGUGAACCUGUUUGGACUCAUCAGUGUCACGUUAAAUAUGCUUCCCUUGGUCAAAAAAGCUCGAGGGAGGGUUAUCAACGUCUCCAGCAUUGGGGGUCGGCUUGCAUUCAGCGGAGGGGGCUAUGCUCCAUCCAAAUAUGCAGUAGAAGCCUUCAAUGACAGCUUAAGGCGGGACAUGAAAGCUUUUGAUGUGCACGUCGCAUGCAUUGAACCAGGAUUGUUCAAAACAGAUUUGUCAGAUCCAGUAAAGACCACCGAAAGAAAACUCACCAUUUGGAAGCAUCUGUCUCCAGACAUCAAACAACAAUACGGAGAAGGCUACAUAGAAAAAAGUCUAGACAAACUGAAAGGCACUACAUCCCUUGUGAACAUGGACCUUUCCCUGGUGGUGGAAUGCAUGGACCACGCUCUCACAAGUCUCUUCCCUAAAACCCAUUAUGUUGCUGGAAAAGAUGCCAAAACUUUCUGGAUUCCUCUGUCUCACAUGCCAGCAGUUUUGCAAGACUUUUUAUUGUUGAAAAAGAAAGUAGAGCUGGCUAAUCCCAAGGCAGUGUGACUCAGCUGACCACAAACACCUGCGCCAGGCUAUGAGAUUGGCUGAUUCCAAGGACACAUCUCCUUCUCCAUCUCAUUCUUUACCUAAUCCAACCUGGACUCAUUUAGAUGAUGCUUCUUUUGGUAAAAGAAGAGAUCCCACCAUCACUGAUGAUGUCCCAGGGUCCCUUCUCAAACUUUAUUUGAAAAGAUGGGCAGACCUGACUUCUUUACUAAUUUCUCCAAGUAGCUACAAUUGGCAGGACAUGUCCAUGCCAUCCAGGCUGAAGAGAAUCUCUUCUAUUUAAAAUCUCUCCAGAAACUCCAUAACUUCUCUGGGGAAGCCAACCCAGCAUUUAAUGAGGAAAACUUCCAGGAGCUUCUAAGAAAAGUGAUCAAUUUUGGCUCUUCUCCACCCUAUUAAUCCCAAUAAUUCUCAAGAACACAAGAGAUAACAGUACCAUCCGUGUGGAGGAAAGAGCGAAACAUUGGUAAAAUGAAAAGCUUUUUAAUACUUACAAAUUAUUUGUGACAUCUUAAUCUUUGCCACAGUUUAUAAGGAUAAUACUGGUCAACAGUUUCAUGAAUUUUUGCACGUUGAAAAAUAAGACAAUUCUGUUGAUACUCAAUUCAGACAUUCUUCCUCAACUCUGUGAUUCAUUUUUUUAAAACAAAAUAUGAGUAAUAUCCAUUCUUCGAUAUGAGGCAUUAAAAUAGCCAGGGCUCUAAUGCAGAUUCAGGUUUAGCAAAGUUUCCAAGCUCUUUCUGCACACAGUACCUGCCUAGGAAAAAACCAGAUCACAGCUCUUGCCUAAUUCAUUCCUGGAAAUAAAUAACACUCCAGCCUGAAACAGGUCAUGCAAAGCAACAUAGCAUUCUGUCACAUUCUACACCAGCAACUGCCCUGAACAGUUCCAUUUCAGUUCAUUUUGAGAAACUGGAGAUGGAAAGCAUUCUGCUAUAGAUACAUAGCAUAAGCCCUAACAAAAACCAUCUAGUCCCAUGCCUAGGUAAAAUAUUUACUCUCAGCCCUCUGGGUCUGUUUUUUCCUCCUAGAUAUGGCAACUAGAACUUGAGCAUGAUGCCACCCAAUUAAUGAUGGUACCUUUGUUAUGGAUCAAGUAAAUCCAAGCAACCUGGCUUCUCACAGGUAUAAUAAGAAAAAUAUAGUAAUGUUUAUUCAACACUCAGUACAUGUCAGGUUCUUAAUGCAUUUGUACAUUUUAUGAAUGACUUUACCUAACCUUAAUCAUAUCUUAGAUAUAGGUUUUUUUUUUUGCUUUUUGUUUGUCUUUAAUGUGGUAGGAACACAACAUGAAAUCCACCCUCUUAACAAAGGAAGUGUACAAUAUGAUACUGUAAAGUAUAGGUACAGUAUUGUACAAAAGAUCUCAGGAACUCAAUCAUCUUGCAUAAAUGAAAUUUUACACCAGUUGAACAGCAGUUCUCCUUUUUCCUUUCCCUCCAGUCCCUGGCAACUACCAUUCUACCCCCUGCUUCUAUGAGUUUGACUAUUUUACAUGCCUGAUAUAAGUGGUAACGUGAUAUUUGUCUUUCCGUGACUGGUUUCUUACUUAUUUUUAAAAAAUAUUUAUUUAUUUGUUUGUUUGCACCGGGUCUUAGUUGUGGCAGGUGGGCUCCUUAGUUGUGGCAUGAGAACUCUUAGUUGUGGCAUGCAUGUGGGAUCUAGUUCCCUGACCAGGGAUCGAACCCAAGCCCCCUGCAUUGGGAGCACGGAGUCUUCUCCACUGCUCCACCAGGGAAGUCCCUGUGACUGGUUUAUUUCACUUAGCAUAAUGUCUUUUAGGUUCAUCCAUGUUGAGGCAUAUAGAAGGAUUUCCUUCUUUGUUAAGGCCGAAUAAUAUUCCAGUGUAUGUAUAUACCACGUUUUCUUAAUCCAUUCAUCUGUUGGUCAACAUUUAGAUUGUUUCCAUAUUUUCGUUAUUUUGAAUAGUGCUACUAUAAACAUGGAAGUGCAAGUAUCUCUUUGGGAUUCGGAUUUCAAUUCUUUUGGAUAAAUGCCCAGAAGUGGGAUUUGCUGGAUCAUAUGGUAUUUCUAUUUUUAAUUUUUUGAGGAACCUCCUUAAUGUUUUCCAUAGCAACUCCACCAUUUUACAUUCCCAUCAACUAUGCUUAAGCAUUCCAGUUUCUCUACAUCCUCACCAACACUUAUCUUUUGUUUUCUUGGUAAUAGCCAUCCUAACAGGUGUAAGGUGAUACUUCAUUGUGGUUUUGAUUUGCAUUAUUUGAUGAUUAGUGAUUAGUGAUAUUGAGCAUCUUUUCAUGUACCUGUUGGUCAUUUACAUAUCUUCUUUGAAGAAAUGUCUAUUCAAGUCCUUUGCCCAUUUUUUAAUCAGGUUAUUUGGUUUUUUGCUAUUAAGUUAGAGUAGUUCCUUAUAUAUUUUGGAUAUUAGGUAUGUUUUUUAGAGAUAGAGAAAUGAAGUCACAGAGAGGUGAACAAUUUGCCCAAGUAUGGGCCAGGGUUCAAACCCAAGCAGGCUAAUGCCAGAACUCAUGCUCAGAACCACUGUAGUAUAUAGAAAUUGAGUCUUACAGAGUAUUUUUCUAAUCUUCAAUACUGGGUCUAUAGAAACAAAACCUUAAUUAAAUUAAUCUAACAUGUGUAUUGUCUAGCUAAUAAUUAUUAUGCAUAAGAGUAAUGCAUAAUUUUGAGCAUAUAUAAAUAUACAUUGUUUUGUUUUCCUAUAUACUAUUUUUAAAUUUUUCUCACUGGUGUUAAAAUAACAAAAGCACUUAUACAUCAUUCCUCAGGUCCUUGAAGUUUUCUAAAUGGAUUUCUAGAUUUCUUUUCUUUCCUUCUUUCUAUCUUUUUUUCAUUGUUGUUGUUGUUGAUUUUAUUUAUUGUUAUUAUUGUUGUUAAUCAUUUCAGGAAUUUAUAUGUAAAUACUUUUUUCUAACCUCAAUAAAAG